AAUACCUCUCAAGCAUAUUUGCUUGGUUGUGGAAGAAGAGUAUGCCAGCAUUCUCCCUUCUGAAAUUGAAAGGCGGAUCGUAGCAUAUUCCGUGGCGUAGUAAGUUUAUCUUGUCGCUCGGAGUGCGUGCAAUUGUCCUGCCAUCAAACCCCCAAUUCUUCAA
This 163-nucleotide unclassified non-coding RNA is filed under the name uncultured Trichophaea. RNAcentral describes it as "sequence contains ITS2". Lineage: Eukaryota; Fungi; Ascomycota; Pezizomycetes; Pezizales; Pyronemataceae. The record is from RNAcentral.